This 466-nucleotide ribosomal RNA is filed under the name uncultured bacterium. RNAcentral describes it as "partial 16S ribosomal RNA". It matches the Rfam family "Bacterial small subunit ribosomal RNA", at positions 28 to 505 of the family's 1533-position model. The record is from RNAcentral.
GACGAACGCUGGCGGCGUGCUUAACACAUGCAAGUCGAACGGAAAGGCCCUGCUUUUGUGGGGUGCUCGAGUGGCGAACGGGUGAGUAACACGUGAGUAACCUGCCCUUGAUUUUGGGAUAACUUCAGGAAACUGGGGCUAAUACCGGAUAGGCGCUCCUGCUGCAUGGUGGGGGUUGGAAAGUUUCGGCGGGUGGGGAUGGGCUCGCGGUCUAUCAGCUUGUUGGUGGGGUAGUGGCUUACCAGGGCUUUGACGGGUAGCCGGCCUGAGUGGGUGACCGGCCACAGUGGGAAGGAGAGACGGCCAAGACUACUACGGGAGGCAGCAGGGGGGAAUAUUGCACAAUGGGCGGAAGGAUGAUGCAGCAACGCCGCGUGCGGGAUGACGGCCUUGGGGUUGUAAACCGCUUUCGCCUAUGACGAAGCGUGAGUGACGGUAAAGGGUAAAGACGCACGGGAUAAAUACG